Molecule: transfer RNA, 73 nt
Organism: Paraburkholderia tropica
Lineage: Bacteria; Pseudomonadati; Pseudomonadota; Betaproteobacteria; Burkholderiales; Burkholderiaceae
Rfam family: tRNA
About the family: Transfer RNA (tRNA) molecules are approximately 80 nucleotides in length. Their secondary structure includes four short double-helical elements and three loops (D, anti-codon, and T loops). Further hydrogen bonds mediate the characteristic L-shaped molecular structure. tRNAs have two regions of fundamental functional importance: the anti-codon, which is responsible for specific mRNA codon recognition, and the 3' end, to which the tRNAs corresponding amino acid is attached (by aminoacyl-tRNA synthetases). tRNAs cope with the degeneracy of the genetic code in two manners: having more than one tRNA (with a specific anti-codon) for a particular amino acid; and 'wobble' base-pairing, i.e. permitting non-standard base-pairing at the 3rd anti-codon position.
Source: Rfam
GGGGCGUUAGCUCAGUUGGUAGAGCAGCGGACUCUUAAUCCGUAGGUCGAGUGUUCGAGUCACUCACGCCCCA